AAACCGUUCAGGGGUAAACCUGAGAAACCCAAAAGAUCGAAUGGGGAGAUUCAUCGUCAGCUUUGUCGGCUUGCGUGCUGCUCGCGAUGCUCGUCUUGGGACGUUAAUAGCGUUCUUUUGGACGGGCACGCGGUAGCUGCGUAAUUCCGUCCGAUGAAGUCGGCGUGCACUUCUCCCCUAGUAGGACGUCGCGACCCGUUGAGUGUCGGUCUAAGGCCCGCGAGGUUGACUGCCGGUGCGUCAGCGUGUCAAAGCGUUGGCGCCGCCGGUAGACCCGCGGUCGCCCGACCGACUGCUCGGCGGUAUAAAUUGUUUGAAAGUUCAAUGGUAUCGAGCCGCAUGAUUUUUGAAUGCGUUCUUUUAUGGCUCGUCGGCAGGUGAGCCUCGCCUCGGAUUUUACGGACCUGGUGCCGUUGUCGAGCGAGUUAAGUUUGCCGUUUCGCCGACGAUGUCCUCGGACGGGCUCUAUAAAGGGUAUUUAUAUACUCUUUUGUUACCAGUCAGCGACGCUACUGCUUUGGGUACUUUCAGGACCCGUCUUGAAACACGGACCAAGGAGUCUAACAUGUGCGCGAGUCAUUGGGACUUGUUUUUGAUAAGCCUAAAGGCGCAAUGAAAGUGAAGGUCCGCUCUGAUGCGCGACCGAGGGAGGAUGGCUUCGAGAGGGAGGAUUGAAUUUUUUCUCUUCUCCCUUCCUCGGAGCUCGCACUCCCGGGGCGUCUCGUGCUCAUUGCGAGCUGAGGCGCACCCAGAGCGUACACGUUGGGACCCGAAAGAUGGUGAACUAUGCCUGGUCAGGACGAAGUCAGGGGAAACCCUGAUGGAGGUCCGUAGCGAUUCUGACGUGCAAAUCGAUCGUCGGAACUGGGUAUAGGGGCGAAAGACUAAUCGAACCAUC
RNAcentral lists this ribosomal RNA (898 nucleotides) under Megaphragma nowickii. RNAcentral describes it as "partial large subunit ribosomal RNA". It matches the Rfam family "Eukaryotic large subunit ribosomal RNA", at positions 402 to 944 of the family's 3401-position model. The record is from RNAcentral. Lineage: Eukaryota; Metazoa; Arthropoda; Insecta; Hymenoptera; Trichogrammatidae.